CAAUAGUGAAGAUGGCGACCGGCGCACGGUGAGUAACACGUAUCCAACCUGCCGAUAACUCGGGGAUAGCCUUUCGAAAGAAAGAUUAAUAUCCGAUAGUAUAUUAAAACCGCAUGGUUUUACUAUUAAAGAAUUUCGGUUAUCGAUGGGGAUGCGUUCCAUUAGUUUGUUGGCGGGGUAACGGCCCACCAAGACUACGAUGGAUAGGGGUUCUGAGAGGAAGGUCCCCCACAUUGGAACUGAGACACGGUCCAA
RNAcentral lists this ribosomal RNA (255 nucleotides) under uncultured bacterium. RNAcentral's name for it is "partial 16S ribosomal RNA". It matches the Rfam family "Bacterial small subunit ribosomal RNA", at positions 77 to 334 of the family's 1533-position model. The record is from RNAcentral.